GACGGGUGAGUAACACGUGGGCAACCUGCCCUUGAGACGGGGAUAACUCCGGGAAACCGGAGCUAAUACCGGAUAACACAUAUCUUCGCAUGAGGAUAUGUUAGAAGGUGGCUUUUAGCUACCACUCAAGGAUGGGCCCGCGGCGCAUUAGCUAGUUGGUGAGGUAACGGCUCACCAAGGCGACGAUGCGUAGCCGACCUGAGAGGGUGAUCGGCCACACUGGGACUGAGACACGGCCCAGACUCCUACGGGAGGCAGCAGUAGGGAAUCUUCCGCAAUGGACGAAAGUCUGACGGAGCAACGCCGCGUGAGUGAUGAAGGUUUUCGGAUCGUAAAGCUCUGUUGUUAGG
This 350-nucleotide ribosomal RNA is filed under the name Priestia endophytica. RNAcentral's name for it is "bacterial SSU rRNA". It matches the Rfam family "Bacterial small subunit ribosomal RNA", at positions 100 to 443 of the family's 1533-position model. The record is from RNAcentral. Lineage: Bacteria; Bacillati; Bacillota; Bacilli; Caryophanales; Bacillaceae.